CCUCUCCCCAUUUCCACGGCCGAAUUCAUCAUUCAUAUAAUUUCACAUUUGAUAAGCACUGAAGCAUUCAGACAGAGCCUCUCAAAGAAUGAGGACUAAAGAAGAACAUAACAUGAUAGUGUAAAAAAAAGUGAAUUGAAUCCAUUAAGAAGAGCCAUUUAAAGACUUCCAACCACUGCGAUUCUUAUUAGUCCCUCAUCAUUUAAACCCAUUUUUAAUCAAGCCUAAAUUUUACUCAAUCUUAAAAUGGCACAAGACAAACUAGCAAGACACUUAAUUAAUAUGGAGAGACAAGACCCAACAAACAGAGAAUAGACAUACAAUUCACACAAUGCAAGAACUUUAAGAUUUCACAUGACAACAUGUUACCACCAUAAACUUUACUUAUGAAUAUGCAUACUGCAACAUGAGAAAUCAAAUGAAGGGUUAUGAACUUGAAUAUGGGACACAUUUGACAUUGUUCAUUUACACUAGGUGACCACUUAACAAGAAUCUCAAAUUCAUGUUCUUAUGGAUAUUACUUUGAAAUCUGCAAAUUCACCAAUGAAACUCAUUUUUUCAAAGAAACGUGUCAAGCACCGACACUGAAUGUUAACAUGCCAUAGAACUUUAUUCUGGAAGAAAGACACUCAAUUAAUUCAAUCGAAAUUAAGUUCAGCAUCGAAGGAAACUGACAGACAUAUUCAACUCAGAUAACAGGUAAAAGUCCGCUUGAAGAUACCCUUAAUAAAUUAGCAGAUCGCAGUGGUAAUAGACUAGUUCUGGAACAAACAUAGUAAUCCAUUUUUGCUUAGAAAGUCCACAAAGGGCUGACCAUGAGUUUAAUUCACAUAAACCAUGAAACCAUCUUUUGAAUUCUAUAAAAUUAGUCAACAUGAAGUGUUAUAUGAACGUUAAUUAAAAUGAACUGAAGUAAUAACUCAAUCUAAACGCGGCAUGAAACAGUCUUCAAAAGAAAUAUAGCAAUUGCAUUUGCGAAUUUCGACAAUAGGAAUUAUUUGUUCACAUAAACUAAAUGAAAGAACACACCUCCAAAUCACUAAAGCCUUAAACGAACCCAUCAGAGAAGUAUGAAGAAAGGGGCAACAUAUAUUGUGACAUGAAGUAAACAGGGAAAGAACUAACAGAUUCUUGACAUCACCUAGAUUUAAACUCAUCUUUUAAUGGCUCCUCCAAGGCUUCAAUUCAUCAUUAUAACAGUAAAAGAAUAGAAGAAGAUGAGACGAACCUGAAUGCAAAAAGUUUUAAUUAAUUCUGGAAGUCGAAUACAAUGGAAUGCGGCAACAAGAUUAAGCAGAAACUGCAGCUAUAACUCGAACUGAAACUGGAUUGAAUUUUCUUGGCGCGAAUGGAACCGCAAAUGAACCUCGAUUUGAAAGCAAUGAACAGCUCGAACGAUCUCGACUCCACGGCAAACCUCAAUCAAACUCCAUCUUGAAAUCCAAAAUCGAAAUGGAAAGAAGUAACAGAAAUAUUAUGUAUUUUUUUCUGAUUUGUUUUUGCAAUGAAAGUAAAAGAAACAGAAGCAAACCAAGGAAAAGGAACAAAAAUCCCUGAAAACCCUAGCCCUCUUCUUUUUCCCAAUUUUUCUCUGAUUUUUUCCCUCUUCAAGACUGUCCGAAAACUUCCAAAUAUAUAUCCCCUCCCGAAUCUUCUUCUCCUCUUCUCCAAGAAAAUCGAUUUUUUAUCUCCAAAAUCUGAAAAAUCCCCUAAAAAUCCGAAAGCCUUUUUCGUGUAAACGGGUUUUAGGUAAAUGGACGCUUAGUAUCCAAAGAUCUCGAUCCUAUGGCUCCCAUUUAACAAUCAUCCAUUUAUGAAUGGCUCAGAUUCUUCAAAGAAAUUGAGAAGAGCGCAUGAGAUGAGAAGAAAACGCGUUAAAAUCAGACGCUAAUAAUGAGGGGGGACCAUGAGGGGAUCAUGUGAGUUAACUCGCCGGGUUUGGACGAGUUCCGGUGAGUUUGGGGUGGUAGGCGCGCGGGCAUAGGUGUGUUGGAGAGGGUUAGGCGCCGUUUGGU
This 2015-nucleotide long non-coding RNA is filed under the name Nicotiana tabacum (common tobacco). RNAcentral describes it as "long non-coding RNA (NTAB_LNC002150)". Lineage: Eukaryota; Viridiplantae; Streptophyta; Magnoliopsida; Solanales; Solanaceae. The record is from RNAcentral.